GGAGGAAAAGAAACCAACUGGGAUUACCUUAGUAACGGCGAGUGAAGCGGUAAAAGCUCAAAUUUGAAAUCUGGUACUUUCAGUGCCCGAGUUGUAAUUUGUAGAAUUUGUCUUUGAUUAGGUCCUUGUCUAUGUUCCUUGGAACAGGACGUCAUAGAGGGUGAGAAUCCCGUUUGGCGAGGAUACCUUUUCUCUGUAAGACUUUUUCGAAGAGUCGAGUUGUUUGGGAAUGCAGCUCAAAGUGGGUGGUAAAUUCCAUCUAAAGCUAAAUAUUGGCGAGAGACCGAUAGCGAACAAGUACAGUGAUGGAAAGAUGAAAAGAACUUUGAAAAGAGAGUGAAAAAGUACGUGAAAUUGUUGAAAGGGAAGGGCAUUUGAUCAGACAUGGUGUUUUUUGCAUGCACUCGCCUCUCGUGGGCUUGGGCCUCUCAAAAAUUUCACUGGGCCAACAUCAAUUCUGGCAGCAGGAUAAAUCAUUAAGAAUGUAGCUACUUCGGUAGUGUUAUAGCUUUUUGGAAUACUGUUAGCCGGGAUUGAGGACUGCGCUUCGGCAAGGAUGUUGGCAUAAUGGUUAAAUGCCGCCCGUCUUGACCCACCGAACUCA
RNAcentral lists this ribosomal RNA (604 nucleotides) under Hanseniaspora uvarum. Its description in RNAcentral is "eukaryotic LSU rRNA". It matches the Rfam family "Eukaryotic large subunit ribosomal RNA", at positions 52 to 664 of the family's 3401-position model. Lineage: Eukaryota; Fungi; Ascomycota; Saccharomycetes; Saccharomycodales; Saccharomycodaceae. The record is from RNAcentral.